AUUGCCUCAGUAACGGCGAGUGAAGCGGCACAGCUCAAAUUUGAAAUCUGGCCCUUUCAGGGUCCGAGUUGUAAUUUGCAGAGGAUGCUUCGGGUUCGGUUCCGGUCUAAGUUCCUUGGAACAGGACGUCAUAGAGGGUGAGAAUCCCGUAUGUGACCGGCCGCCACGCCCGUGUGAAGCUCCUUCGACGAGUCGAGUUGUUUGGGAAUGCAGCUCAAAAUGGGUGGUAAAUUUCAUCUAAAGCUAAAUAUUGGCCAGAGACCGAUAGCGCACAAGUAGAGUGAUCGAAAGAUGAAAAGCACUUUGGAAAGAGAGUCAAACAGUACGUGAAAUUGUUGAAAGGGAAGCGCUUGCAACCAGACUUGCCCGCGGGUGAUCAGCCGGUAUUCUUACCGGUGCACUCGCCCGUGGUCAGGCCAGCAUCGGUUCGGACGGCUGGAUAAAGUCCACUGGGAUGUAGCUCCUCUCGGGGAGUGUUAUAGCCAGAGGUGCCAUGCAGCCCGCCCGGACCGAGGAUCGCGCUUCGGCUAGGAUGCUGGCGUAAUGGUUGUAAGCGACCCGUCUUGAAACACGGACCAAGGAGUCUAACAUCUAUGCGAGUGUUUGGGUGUCAAACCCAUGCGCGUAAUGAAAGUGAACGGAGGUGGGAACCCUUCAAGGGUGCACCAUCGACCGAUCCUGAUGUCUUCGGAUGGAUUUGAGUAAGAGCAUAGCUGUUGGGACCCGAAAGAUGGUGAACUAUGCCUGAAUAGGGUGAAGCCAGAGGAAACUCUGGUGGAGGCUCGCAGCGGUUCUGACGUGCAAAUCGAUCGUCAAAUUUGGGUAUAGGGGCGAAAGACUAAUCGAACCAUCUGCCACUAGAUG
Molecule: ribosomal RNA, 864 nt
Filed under: Acarospora sp.
Lineage: Eukaryota; Fungi; Ascomycota; Lecanoromycetes; Acarosporales; Acarosporaceae
Description: partial large subunit ribosomal RNA
Rfam family: Eukaryotic large subunit ribosomal RNA
Source: RNAcentral